This 2861-nucleotide long non-coding RNA is filed under the name Capra hircus (goat). RNAcentral describes it as "lncRNA (ENSCHIG00000001366.1)". Lineage: Eukaryota; Metazoa; Chordata; Mammalia; Artiodactyla; Bovidae. The record is from RNAcentral.
CUCCAAGGGGUCUUCCCAACUCAGGGAUUGUACCCGAGUGUCUUAUGUCUCCUCCACUGGCAGACGAGUUCAUUACCACUCAUGCCACCUGGGGGUCAUUAAAUGCUUUAUAGGCUCAAAAGAACUGAUGCAGUUCAAAGGAGAGGCUGAUGGAUCAGUCAGUAAUAUAGAGAAGUUUCUCUGAAAGAGGGGUGAUGGGGAGAGUUUGCAGGCAGGGAGCAGGAAGGAGGGCAUUCCUGUAGAGGAGAGGAUGCGUGAGGCAGAGGAGGAACCGCACCUGGUAAGCACUGUGAGACCAGGGGCGUGUUCACGCCGGUCACCACAGAUCCCCACCACCUGUCACAGUGCCUGCACAUAAAAGGUGCUCUCUUAAUGCUUGCUAAAUAAACAGGUGAUGUUUUGUGGGAUGUCACCAUUCUGGGGCAGCUGGCCUGUAAGGACAUACUUUGGGAAAUGGGGAAUUAAUUUGAGUUUGUAGGGUGGGGUCAUUCCCGAAGGGCAUCGGAAGCCAGGGGGAAGAAAGUCAAAGUAUCGGAGUUACUGUCACACUAAAGUUUCGCCUGUAAAGGGGAGAUAUCGAUGGACGUUUCAGAACCCAGUGCCAGCCCCCUGCCUGAGGAUCGUGACCCACGUGUUGUGGUUUCUGAAAUAUACAGGCUGUCUGUGGCGCUCUGCUUCUUCCCUCUCCUUCCCUGAGCUGGAUGACAAAUGCUGGCAGUUUGAUCAGGAUAGCUGGCCAAACGCUGGCUGUUUUUCUUCUUGGUGAUGCACUGAAGGAAUUAACCAGCUUCCAAAUGGUUCUGAUGAUUUCUUCUGCGUGGAUGACUUCCAAUUCCAUCCUGUCCUCUGAUGUUGCUCCUGAGUCCUCAUCCUGCAGACAGCUCCAUUGGUGUGUGGGUCCCUACCAGCCCCUGAAUCUCCUGCCCACACACCUACCAGACUUAUCUGAAGAUACCUUUGACCUGAAAUAUGAAAAAUUGGAUAUGCAUACACGAACAUGGUUAAGAAAUAUGUUUGUCCCAUAAAGCAACUGCAUUUUUAAUCAAUACAUAUUUUACUGAUGAUAUUACCCUGGUAUUUUAAAUUUUAAUAUUGUUGCUAUUUAGUUGCUAAGUGAUGUCUGACUCUUUUGCAGCCUUAUGGACUGUAGCUCACCAGUCUCCUCUGUCCAUGGGAUUUUUCAAGGCAAAAAUACUGGAGUGGGUUGCCAUUUCCUUCUCCAAAUAUCAUUUGUUGUUAUUAUUACUUACAUAAUUUUCAAUACUGUUAACCAAACUAAAUCUGCGGCAGAGGCAAUAAAGGUUGAUUUGCAAAGGAAUUAGGUAUUUUGGCAAUUAGUGUGCAAUUUGUUAGCUUCUAGAAUAGCAGAAAAAUGCCUCUCAUUUUACUGUAUGCCAUAUCACAUUGUUUGUUUACACAUUGCCAUAUCACAGAUUAGCAGUGAACUUAUAAAAUGUAUGAUGCACCUAAAAAGGUGUGAAGCUUAAGGAAAUUCUAUUUUGAUUUGGAUUACUGUCAUGACAUGAAAUUCUCUCAAUUUCCAAUGAAUAAUCAUUGCUUUUGCUUAUUCAAAGAUAUUUGUGUGCUCCACAUGCUGAAAUUAAGUUAUACAAGUGACUAAAGGGAAUAGAAACAGGGAUAAUUGAAAAUCAUUUACAAAUUGGGAAAGAGAUAUAUCUUUUAUUGAGUUAAAAUACUUGAACUUUGUGAUUUGAGAUUUAUUUUAGAAUUUAGCUUACUUUUUGCACAUUGGAAAAGUAUCUUAAGUUCAUUGCCUUGUGAUAGCAGAAAGACUAUUUUAUACCCCUCCAUUUAGCAGCAGCAAGAUGGUAUGAGUGUAAAAACUCACUUGUGCGUAAGAGGUACAUUUGAGGAGGCAAAAUAUACAUUGUUAUUAAAAACUCAAAUUUCAGCUCUGAAACUGCAUAGACUUCAGUUCAGGUUCAGUACUACCACUUACUAACUGUGAAAUUGGAAAGUUAUUUGAUUUCUUUAAACUUCAGUUUCCUCUUCUAUAAAAAUGAAAAUAAACACUUCUCAUAUGGUUGUUAUAAGAAUAACUAAGAUGCUUAAAUUACUUAAUAAUCGUUGAAAUUAAUGACAGCUUUUACUGAUAUUUUGAAGAGAUUUAAGUGUACCAAGGAAUAGCAAAAUCUCAUGCAUCAAUUCAAAGAUUACUUAAGUGUUCUAAAGAAAGAUCAUGUCUUUUUUUUUUUUUUAAUAAAGGAGCAUUUUAAAAAACUUUUUUUGUAUUGGGGUAUAGACGGUUAAUAAGCAAUGUUGUAAUAGUUUCAGGUGAACAGUAAAGGGACUCAGUCAUACUUGUAUAUGUCUCCAUUCUCUUCCAAACUCUCCUCCCAUCCAGAGUGCCACAUAACACUGAGCGGAGUUUCCCGUGCUAUACAGUAGGUACUUGUUUGUUAUCUAUUUUAAAUAUAGCAGUGUGUACAUGCCCAUCCCAAACUCCCUAACUAUCAAUAAAGGAACAUUUUGCUCUGCAUAUAAUAUUUAUGGUAUUUGCUAAAGCCAGGAACAUAAUCAAAGAAUCUACACACAAUCCAUAUUUAUCAUUUCAUAACACAGGAUGAACUUUUAUAAACUUUUUUGUAUUUUUAUUUAUGAGAAUAAGAAUUAAGGUGUGAGGAUUUAGGGAAGUUAAUUCUAUUCCUCUGGUUUUCCCUUUUCCUUUUAAGUUUGGUACUUAGCAAAAAUCAUAUACAGCCAGGUUGAAUUGGGUAACUUGUAAAAUUGUCACAACUACAGAAAUCAUAAAAUAUAUUGUAUCUAUUUGCAGAAAAUGUGUGGUAUUAGUCCAGUUGGCCUGAGAGAGUAAAAAUGGCAGCAGUAAAUUAAACAUGUGG